Molecule: transfer RNA, 73 nt
Filed under: Planctomycetota bacterium
Lineage: Bacteria; Pseudomonadati; Planctomycetota
Description: tRNA-Ile
Rfam family: tRNA
About the family: Transfer RNA (tRNA) molecules are approximately 80 nucleotides in length.
Source: RNAcentral
GGGCCCUUAGCUCAAUCGGCAGAGCAGGGGACUCAUAAUCCCUUGGUUACAGGUUCGAGUCCUGUAGGGCCCA